RNAcentral lists this unclassified non-coding RNA (308 nucleotides) under Hevea brasiliensis (rubber tree). Lineage: Eukaryota; Viridiplantae; Streptophyta; Magnoliopsida; Malpighiales; Euphorbiaceae. The record is from RNAcentral.
UUUAUGGGACCAAUCGUGGAUUGAGUGCUAGCAGUGAGACUAGAGCUGAGAUCGUCGAGCUUAUUACACAGCUUGAAGCCAAGAACCCUACCCCCGCGCCCACUGAGGCAUUGGCUCUGCUCAACGGCAAAUGGAUUCUGGGGUACACUUCUUUUUCACGUUUAUUUCCACUGCUGUCAACGGGUGCCUUUCCAUUGGUAAAGGUGGAAGAAAUAUCCCAGAUUAUUGAUUCGGAGACUUUCACUGUCCAGAAUUCUGUUCAGUUUGCUGGUCCACUAGCUACCACUUCCAUCAGCACCAAUGCUAAA